UAAAAUGCAUUGAGAACGAAGGCUCUAAAUACAACAAUUGCAGAGAGAGAGACGCAGCUGAAAGUCUUUUAUCGUUGGUUUAGAGUUGCCCCGUUUGAGCAGCUGAAAAGAAAGUCAGAAUCCCAUAUUCGAUCAGUACUUUCAGUCGGGAAACCGUUAUUUAAUAAAGUGAGUUGCCAAUGAUUUUGCAGCUAAUUUGGGUGGUACCGCGGAUUAAACCGUCCCUUGC
This 229-nucleotide non-coding RNA is filed under the name Acetobacterium wieringae. Its description in RNAcentral is "T-box". It matches the Rfam family "T-box leader". Rfam says of the family: Uncharged tRNA acts as the effector for transcription antitermination of genes in the T-box leader family. T-boxes are found upstream of many aminoacyl-tRNA synthetase genes and some amino acid biosynthetic genes usually in Gram-positive bacteria. The anticodon of a specific tRNA base pairs to a specifier sequence within the T-box motif, and the NCCA acceptor tail of the tRNA base pairs to a conserved bulge in the T-box antiterminator hairpin. The record is from RNAcentral. Lineage: Bacteria; Bacillati; Bacillota; Clostridia; Eubacteriales; Eubacteriaceae.